CAUGCAAGUCGAACGGUAACAUUGGUGCUUGCACCAGAUGACGAGUGGCGCACGGGUGCGUAACGCGUAUGCAAUCUACCUUUUACUAGAGUAUAGCCCAGAGAAAUUUGGAAUAAUCCUCUAUAAUAUCUUUAAGUUUCAUGACUUUUAGAUUAAAGUUUUAACGGUAAAAGAUGAGCAUGCGUCCUAUUAGUUUGUAGGUGAGGUAACGGCUCACCUAGACUACGAUAGGUAGGGGCCCUGAGAGGGGGAUCCCCCACACUGGUACUGAGACACGGACCAGACUCCUACGGGAGGCAGCAGUAAGGAAUAUUGGACAAUGGACGAAAGUCUGAUCCAGCCAUGCCGCGUGCAGGAUGAAAGCCCUAUGGGUUGUAAACUGCUUUUAUACAGGAAGAAACACUCGUACGUGUACGAGCUUGACGGUACUGUAAGAAUAAGGACCGGCUAACUCCGUGCCAGCAGCCGCGGUAAUACGGAGGGUCCGAGCGUUAUCCGGAAUCAUUGGGUUUAAAGGGUCCGCAGGCGGUCUUUUAAGUCAGAGGUGAAAGCCUACAGCUCAACUGUAGAACGGCCUUUGAUACUGAAAGACUUGAGUUAUUAUGAAGUGGUUAGAAUGUGUGGUGUAGCGGUGAAAUGCAUAGAUAUCACACAGAAUACCGAUUGCGAAGGCAGAUCACUAAUAAUAUACUGACGCUCAUGGACGAAAGCGUGGGGAGCGAACAGGAUUAGAUACCCUGGUAGUCCACGCCGUAAACGAUGGAUACUAGCUGUUCGUCUAACAUUGGUUAGAUGAGUGGCUAA
Molecule: ribosomal RNA, 804 nt
Filed under: uncultured Bacteroidota bacterium
Lineage: Bacteria; Pseudomonadati; Bacteroidota
Description: bacterial SSU rRNA
Rfam family: Bacterial small subunit ribosomal RNA
Source: RNAcentral